AAUAUUUUUUAUAUAUAUAUAUAUAUAUAUAUAUACCAUCAGUCUUCCACUUUUUAGUAUCCAUUAUUUUCAUAGCUCUAUUAACUUAUUAGGGGUUGAAAAUUGGUGAUUUUCUGAAUCCCUCAUUCCUUUUCCUUUAUCAGCUGAAUUUCUUCUAUAAAGAAGAAUUUUCCCUUAGUAACAAUUUGGUCACUCUAAAAUUCAGUUUGUAAAGGAAAUCCAGGAUUUAAUCGAUAUCCUUUAUUAGUAUUCAGAAUGAGUUAGUGCCCCAGCAGCCUGUAAUUAUGACUAAUUACCUUGUUACCAUGAUGAACUCAUGGAUUUUUAUAUCUUUGAUAUGUUUCAAUACAUUUAAUCAUUAUUAUUUCUGAUAUGCUAUUUAUUAUUUCUAUGUUAGGUCAGUGAGAGCCCCUUUUCAUUGAUUCCUUUAAGCCUUUAUUGGAUUUUGUUAGUGUGAUAAAGUUUAACUUUACGAGAAGAGAGAGCUCACCUCUGGAUACUGAUCCACUUGUGUUUUCAGACCUGCAACACUGAGAAAUAACCCUAGACUAUGGUGGAUUCAUCAAGGUGACCCUCAAUAGAGACCAGUCAUCUAGCCUCCCUUGCUUACAGUUAAUCACUCAAUAAAUGUUUUUUUUUUGAGGACCUACUCAGUGUAACAUACCCUGUUAGCUUUGGUGAAAUAACAGUGAAGAUGUAGUCCUUGAUUUUACCUACCUUACAAGAGGGAACAAAAGAGAGAAGAAAAACUAAAAUAUAGUGUAAAACUACUGUGGUUAAAAGAGGACACUACUCUGUAGGAGCACAGGGAAGGGCCUCCUACUCAGACUUAAGGGAAGGCUCCUUGGAAAAAGAGUCAUUCUACUGAUCCCUUUAGGAUAAGUAGGAGCUAGAAGGUCAAGAGAAAGGAAAGAGAGACAGAGCCAGUGCAGUUUGUAAAAUCCCAGAGAGAAAGCCCAGGGUGGUCAGGGUACUCUAGGCUGGGGUGUGAAAAGGGAAGUAGCAAGACAUCAAGGUUAAAUGAGAUAAUGCUAUACUGGUUAAGUACUAAAAAGUACUUAGUACAUGGCCAGCACAUAGUUAGUGCUUAAUAAAGGCUAAUAUAUAAAAAUGGAGUUCAAGCAGAUGAAAGUUAUAUAAUGAUGAAUUUUGCACUGAGGCCUCACAUAAGAUAAAGAGAAAUGAAGGUGGAAGAAAACCUCACCAAAAUUUAGAAUUACGUUACAGUGGCAUCUGUAAACAGAGAGGGAGAUGGGAUGUUUAAGAGAUUGUAAAGGCAAUUCCUUCAGCUUGAUGUUAUCAGGGACAGAAACUUUAAAACUCUGAAUGUUAGGGAAGAGAUCUGAGUCAUUACAUUAAAAAAACUAUUUUGUAACUAUAUCAAGCUUACAGAAAAGUUGCAAGUGUAUACAAAGAACUGUUUUUUCCUGAACCAUUUGAAAGCAAGUUGCUGAUGUUAUUAUGAUGUCCCAUUAACCUAAAUAUUUUAAUGUUUAUUUCCUCAAACAACAUACUCCUAUGUAACCGCAAUAAGAUCAACUAAAUCAGAAAAUUAACAUUGUUUACAUUUCUACCAUCUAUCCCUCAGGCUCCAUUCAAGUUUGGCCAAUAGUCCCAGCACUGUCCUUUAUAGUAAAAGGAUUCAGUUCAGAAUCAUGCAUUGCAUUUACUCAUUAUGUCUCAUUAAUCUCCUUCAGUCUGGAAAAGUUCCUCAGUCCCUCCUUGACUUGCAGACCUUGACAGUUUUGAGGAUUACAGGUCAGUUAUUUUGUAGCACCUCUCUGAAUUUGGGUUGGUCUGAUGUUGCCUAGAUGUUAGUUUCAGGUUAUGUAUCUUUGACAGGAAUACCACAGAAAUGAUGGGAUGCUCUUCACAUUGUAUCCUAUCAGAUGACAUGAUUUCAGUUUGUCCUAUUACUGAUGUUAAUUACUUUUGAGCUCCUGAUGAAGGUAUUGUCUGCCAGGUUUCUAUACUGUAAAGUUGCUCUUUUCCCAUUGUGUGGAGGGAAGGUUCAUCAAACUUUACAUUUAUUUGAACAAAAAAAGUAUUGAUAACUUAUAAACAGCUGAAGUGCUCAGGUCCUGUGAGCUGGUAUCAUGGGGGUGGGAGAGGUGAGUAUCUCUAUUUUCAUAUUUCUCUAAUAGAAGAAAAGAAAAGCAAUGUUUCUGUAACUUCUUAGAAUUCAAUACGACAAUCUCCAAUAAUUAAUAAAUACGAAUUUUGUUGUUGAUGUGGAAUUAUUUUAGAACUUUGUUUUUGUGAAUUUCAGUGAAAAUAAAACAGAUAUCUGAGGAAAAAAUGAGACAGCCUCAGAUUUAAAAAAUAAAAUUAGCUUCCCUAUUUUCAGUAAAAUAGAGACUGGGAGCAGGGAAAUCUUUUCAUCUCAGUCCAUCAUGGCAGCAGAAAAUCAGGGCUUGUUAAUGUUGAUGUUGUACAACCUAUCUUCAAUGUUGGGAACUGACAUCUAUAGUCUCAGGACACCUAUGGACUGAUUCUCUGAUCAUCCUAGAGAAUAUGAAAGGGAUUAGGAGAUAGCACAAGCACAGUCACUGCAGUCUGUCUGAGAAACACUGGUUCUGCAUAUAUGCCUUUUUUAAAAAAAUAAAUAAAUGAUAGAAAUCAAAAAAGAAAAGAAAAAAAACCCACAAUGUUUCUGAAUGGAAAGAACUCUGAAAUUGGAAUCAGGUUGAGUACUAGGUGCAGUUCUGCCACUGUAUAAAUCUGCUAAGACUGACAUUACAAAAUACCAUAGACAGGGUGGCGUAAACAACUGAUGUCUAUUUUCUUACAAUUCUGGAAACUGAAAGUCCAAGAUUGUGGUGCCAGAGUUCGUUUCUGGUGAGAUCUCUCUUCCUGGCUUGUAGACGGUAGCCUUCUCACUCUGUCCUCAUGUGGCUUUCCUCUGUGUUCUCACAGAAAGAGAGAGAUCUUUGGUGUCUUCUGCUCUUCCUAAAAGGACAGCAGUCCUAUCAGAUUAGAGGUCCAGCCUUUUGACCUCAUUUAACCUUCACUACCUCCCUAAAGGUCCUAUCUCCAAAUAUAGUCACACUGUGGGUUAGGGCUUCAACAUAUGAAUUUGGGGGGAGGGAACACAAUUUGGUCUAUAACAGCCACUAAGGAAUGACUACUGCUUUGUGCUUCCAUUUUCUCCAUCAGGGGUCCCAGCUGGAGCCUAUGCUAUAUCUCCUUAGGAUUCAAGCAUUGCUGGAGGACUGGUGGAGCAGGACUUCAGGACUCUAUUUAUAUAUAGCUCCUAGAGUAUCUUAGGAAAGAAGCCAUGCUAAGAGAGAGCUGAGUCCCCAAGCCUGGUUCAAGGAUGAGAGCCACUGUCAGAAAGGAGAAGAAAUGGUGAAAGCAUCAUGGUCUCUGUCAUUUAGAUCAGCCUCCAGCUCAGCCUCCAUGGAUUCAUGCUUCUGUCAUAAGGAAUAAUCCACUACUGAGGACCCAAUGCCCCACAAAGUGAACCUUGGCCUCCCACAGAAGAACGCUUUAAGGAGCUACCAACUCAUUUACCUUUGCUCUAGUGCAGCACCCAUAUUAUGGGUGGUAAGAGUCCUGAAUCAAUCUUUUGCCAGUGACAGAGGGGUCGACCACAACAAAUGGGCAGUUUGCACAUGAGACUUAAUGUACAACUCCUUGUUCGUUUUUCCUUGACAGUGGAAGGACACUGGACCUGACAUACAGAAGUCUCUCAGUAAAGAUUUGCUGUUUUUGAAAUUCAAUGGACACUGACCAGAUCUGUGAAUAAGAAGGCUCUUGGAUAAGAGUGAAAAAAAUGGAUGACACCAAUGUAUCUCACAUGGAGGAAACUGUCUUUAUGAAAACUCUUUGAAAUGCCCUGCAGACACAGAUGUCAGCAGAUGCCCAGCUCAGACAAGGGGAAGCUGUUUUGCAUGAAACAAAGAGAGGAACAUGGUUUAUUGCUUGUGAAAAGGAGGGGGAAGAAAGAAGGUAUUGGUCAACACUCUUGCAAUUGCAAAUGACAGAAAUUUAACUCAAUGUGGCUUAAGGGAAAACCCAGAUAUCUAGUUAGACAUGGUUGGAUUCAGGAAGUCAAACUUUGUCAUCCAUAUCUGCGUUUUCUCUCCAUCUCUUGAUUUUGUUUUCCUUUGUCUUGAUUCACUCUCAAGCAGACUCUUCACUUGUGCUGGCAAAGAUGGGCACUAGCAAUGCUAGGCUGACCUUUCUACCAGCUCAGUGACCCCAGGGGUAAGAGUCCUUCACUCACCAAGAGUUCUCUCAAGUCUAUCCCUGAGUAGCAGUCUGGCCGGGGAGAUGGAAUGUACGGAUUAUGUGGGUUUCGUCACUUGUUUGGAUCACUGGAAUAGGCUGGGGUCAGCCCUGCUCAAGUCAUGUAGAAGUUCCAAAAAUAAUUUGCAGAGUUCCUGGCAUGGAGCUUCUAGAACCCUUGGAAUUUCCUGAGUGACUAAAGUGUCUUUAUUAUUCAUGAGUCCCUUGGAUCACUCCUGAGUUUAUGCUAAUGAGGGCACUCAUGGUGGGACCCUGCAUAGCUUCAAGAUUGAGACUGGUCACCAGAAAGACCAACCACUGAUUAGAAGGUUGGGACUUUGAGCCAGCCCAACCUCCAGGGAGGGAAGAAGGAUUGAGUUCAAGUGCAUGGUCCAUGAUUUAAUCAGUGAAACUCCAAUAAACCUUUGGACAGCAAAGCUCAGUGGAGGUUCCUUGUUGGUGAACUCAUGUUGGGAAGAUGAGGUGCCCUCGUCCCAUGGGGAGAGGGCACAGAAGCUCUGUGUUCAGGACCUUCCAGACCUUGCCCUAUGUGUCUCUUCAUUUGGCUGGUCUGAUUUGUAUCCUUUAAAACUCUAAUUGUAAGUAUAGUGCUAUCCUCAGUUUUGUGUCAUUCUGCUGCAUUAUAGAACCUGAGCGGGGUUGGAGGAACCCUCUGGAUUUGUAGCCAGUUGGUUGGGAGUAUGGGUGGCCUGGGCCCCUACUUGCUCCUGGUGUCUGGAGUGGGGGCAGUCUUGUUGGAGACUGUGCCCUUACAGCUGUGGAGUCUGACAAUAACUCUGGUUGCUUAGUGUCAGAAUUGAAAUUGCAGCACAACAGAUGACGUCAGAAUAGUUGGGGUUGAAACAGAAUAGGAUUGAGUCUGGAUCCAUGCACUGCAGAACAGUGGAAGAGGUGUGGAGCCAGGAGCCUAGAGGCCAGGUGGUUAUGAUAACAGAAGAUCACUGGGAAGAAACUGAAAUCUUGAAGAGGGCUUUGGAUUUUCACAGGAUAAGGAGUUGGAGAGAAGAGGAGUUUAAGCCAAUUUUAUCUCAACCUUUCAGCAGAGGAGGGUCCCCAACUGAACUGAGUUACAUACAUUCAUCUUUGCUAUAAGAAUCUGUGUUCACUUUUAUGAAGUGAUUACAACUUUUCCAAGUGAACAAAGUUCUUUCACUCACUCAUGGUCAGACUCACUUAUCUUACACAUGUGCAUUCAAAGACCUUCCAGUCACUCUCAGAGCCAGGUGUAGAAGCAGAGAAUGGAAGUGCUGGCUGAUGCAGGAUAGUGGAUUUGCAAGGCGAGUGCAAGAAAAAGUCAAGAGGGCAAGAUACAUCAACGAGGAUGUGUCUGUUCUGUCUGUAAAAGCCCCAAAUGCCAGAAAGUUCAGUGGUGUGUGUGUGUGUGUGUGUGUGUGUGGUGGCAGCACAUAUCAACUCAAUGUUUUAGGGAGCAGUAUGAACUCAGGACCAUAUCAGCUCACAUAAAUUAACAUUCCCACUUCUGGCUGGUUUGAUGAAUACUCCUGGUUCAUAAGUCAAUGUGUGAGUUUCCCCAUAGAGCAGGCCCUCCACAAAAACAUGUAAAAUACCGUAUUGUAUUUUCCUCACAAAUAAUCACUGAGAAUGGUUGAGUCUUAUUCCCUUUGUCUUUUGUUUUUAAACUAGGGUUAAUAAUAAAAUAAACUUUAGGUUUUUUUUGUUUUUUCUAAUUUAUUUUAUUUUUGGCUGCGUUGGACCUUCCUUGCUGCACACAGGCUUUCUCUAGUUGUGGUGAGUGGGACUACUCUUCACUGCGGUGUGUGGACUUCUCAUUGCGGUGGCUUCUCUUGUGGAGCACGGGCUCUAGGUGCGUGGGCUUCAGUAGUUGUGGCUCGCGGGUUCUAGAGCACAGUAGCUGUGCACAGGCUUAGUUGCUCCGUGGCAUGUGGGAUCUUCCCAGACCAGGGCUCGAACCCGUGUCCCCUGCAUUGGCAGGCAGAUUCUGAACCACUGUACCCCCAGGGAAGCCCUAGUUUAGUUUUAAUAAGCCAUUGUCACAAUCAGGAUCAUAAACAUAUCCGUCACCCCCAGAGUUUUUGGUGCCCUUUGUGAUCUCCCUCCCACUCUUUCUCCCAAACCCAGACAACAACUGAUCUCCUUUCUGUCACUAUAGAUUUGUUCACAUUUUCUAGAAUAUUUUAGCAAUGGAAUCAUAUGCUAUAUAUUCUUUUUUUAUGUGGCUUCUUUCACUCAGCAUAAUUUGUUGAGAUUCAUAACUUGUUCAUUCUUUUUUAUUGCUGGGUAGUAUUCCAUUGUAUGAAUAUACCUCAAUUUGUUUAUCCAUUCACUUGUUGAUGAACAUUGGUACAAUUUCAUAAGUUUUGAUAUACAUAUACACACGUGGAGCCAUUGCUCCAACCAAGAUACCCAUCACCACCAAAAGUUUAUCUCCAGUGUUUGGCUAUUACAAAUAAAACUACUAUGAAUAUUCAUGUAAGAGAACUUCUAUGGAUAUAGCUUUCAUAUGUUUUCUCUUUAGUAAGUAUCUAAGAUUAGAAUUAUUACAUCAUUUGGUAGGUAUACCUUUAACUUUUUAAGACACUUCCAAACUGUUUUUUAAGAAACUGUUUUCUAACCUAGUAUACAUCACCACUCUUCUAAAUUCUCGCCAACACAUGGUUUGGUAAGUCUUUUUAAUAUUUUACAUUCUAAAAAGUAUAUUGUAUUUUAUCAUGGUUUUAACUUGCAUUUCCAUAAUGGCUAAUGAUAUUGAGCAACUUUUCAUAUGUUGUUAAGAGUUCCUUUCUUUUUCCUGUUCUUUAUAUGUAUAUAUUAACCCUUUACUAUAUGGGGAAAAAUGCUUCUCCAAAUUUUUGCUCAUUACUGAAAUUUCAUAUUGAUGGCUAAUAAUUUCUAUUAUAAUUAAUGUAAUAACUAUGGUAUUUUCUAAUGGAAAAGUAGGUCUAAGCUUGAUAUUAUAAUAAUAUUGAUAGUGAACUCCAACCUUUAGAUGACUCUAAAUUUUGUCAUUUUAUGAAUAAAAGGUGAAAAGUUCUGAAGCAACUGAGAAUUUAGCAGCAGUUGCAGUAUUGAUGUUAGCCAUUUUCUUAUUUUUUGGAAGCUCUGAAAAUCAGUGUGAUCUGACUCUGCAAUGAGUUUGGGAACUGCUUUGCCCAAAAUCAGAGUGAUUUUUGUAAAAGCUAAAACAUUUAUUUCAGCUCAACAUGGUGGCCUCUGAGAAUACAUUUAGCAGAGAACAUCAACUAAUGCAAUCUUACUAUAUUUUCAGAGACUCUGAAUGUUCAUCUUUAAAUGGAAUAUUCUCUUUGUAUUAGGGGACUUGCAUAAGUUGCAUUUAUAGUCACCCUGGGCAUAAAUUCAGUGUGUAAAAUCUGGCUCAAUCUUCCCAUUCCAGAUGAGGAAACUGGGGCCCUGGGAAGUAGAGAUUUGCCCAAGGGAAUCUGGUGAGAUAGUGGCAGUGAGCACAGUUUAGGUAAGGUGGGCAAUGCUCUCUAUCCUGUCUCUUCUCUGAGUGAGAUCAACAGUGAGUAAAUUAUAAGACCAUAGAAAGUGAGUGCUGAAAGGAGAAUUAGAGACCACUCAGUCUACUCCUCUUAUUGUAAAGUGAGAAAACUGAGGCCUGUGGCAGGGGAGCAGCAUGUCCAAGGCCAUGCAUAGCAAGUUUAUCACAUAAUUGAGACUGAAAGUUGGGUCUCCUGAUGCUUAGUUUUCAGGAUGGCUGAGCAGGUCUGCUGCCUCUCCAGUGAAUGAAGGGCCAGAGUCCGGGACUUCGCACAAAACUUUGAUGGGAUUUGGAAGAUUUCCUUGUGGAGGUGACAAGCACUCGAGUUGUCUUUAUAGCCCCAGUAAUAAGAUGAUGGCAUCAUCCAUAUUCCCUCUACCAAUGACUCUUCCAUGGCAACGUAGCUGAGACUGAGGCUAAAGGGCCAAAAAGGAUCACCUCCCAAAUAAACUACGUGAACCCAAGUAUUUAUCUUAGGCUCUGCUUUUUGGGAAAUCUAAAUUAGUUAGCUGAUACCAGGAGUGACCUCAGAGUGAACACCCUCAGGAUGGAUUCUGGAACUGAAUCACUCACUGAUCAGAUGGCAACAAGGACUCUGCUGUUGAUGAUAAGUUGAGCAGUGAUAACCCCUGAUAGGCUGUGCAGUCACAACGACUAAACUCUUCACCUGUGGAAGACUGGAAGUACAAGUGGAAGGAAUACACCAGACUAUGUAGUAGCUCUAGCACAGGGAUUCUCAGCCAUUUAAAAAAAUAUUGUCCCCCUAGGGAGAAAAAUUAAAUUAAUUUAAAGUAUUCUGGGUGGGAGGUGGGCAAAAGAGGUGAAGGUGAUCAAAAGGUACAACCUUCCAGUUAUAAAUAAGUCUGGGAAAUGUAAUGUACAGUAUGGUGACUAUAGUUAAACAUACUGUUUUGCAUAUUUGAAAGUUGCUAAGAGAGUAUGUCUUAAAAAUUCUCAUCACAAGAAACAAAAAUUGUAACUGUAUAUGGUGAUGGAUGUUAACAACUUAUGGUGGCAAUCAUUUCAUAAUAUAUACAUGUAUUAAAUCAUUAUGUUGUACACCUAAAAUGAAUAAUAUGUUGUAUAUCAAUUAUAACUCAAUAAAUUAUCCCUAGCCAGGGAAAUGAAAUACUAAGGAAUAA
This is a long non-coding RNA of Orcinus orca (killer whale), 8874 nucleotides long. RefSeq lists it as uncharacterized. Lineage: Eukaryota; Metazoa; Chordata; Mammalia; Artiodactyla; Delphinidae. The transcript has 7 exons. The record is from RefSeq and is a predicted model, not a curated record.